RNAcentral lists this ribosomal RNA (253 nucleotides) under uncultured bacterium. RNAcentral's name for it is "partial 16S ribosomal RNA". It matches the Rfam family "Bacterial small subunit ribosomal RNA", at positions 524 to 776 of the family's 1533-position model. The record is from RNAcentral.
UACGUAGGGUGCGAGCGUUAAUCGGAAUUACUGGGCGUAAAGCGUGCGCAGGCGGUUCGUUAAGUUCGAUGUGAAAGCCCCCAGCUCAACUGGGGAAGUGCCUCUGAUACUGGUCGCCUCGAGGGAGAUAGGGGCGUGCGGAACUUCCGGUGGAGCGGUGAAAUGCGUAGAUAUCGGAAGGAACACCGGUGGCGAAAGCGGCGCGCUGGAUCUCUUCUGACGCUGAGGCGCGAAAGCCAGGGGAGCGAACGGG